CCAUGCGAGUCGAACGUCCCCCUGUUGCGGGGGGCGUGGCGUACGGCUCAGUAACACGUAGUCAACCUGCCCUGGAGACAAGGACAACCCCGGGAAACUGGGAUUAAUCCUUGAUAGGUCAUCUCAUCUGGAAGGAGAGAUGGCUUAAAGGGGUACGCGGGCUUCUUCCGCGAAUUCGCUCCAGGAUGGGACUGCGUCCGAUCAGGCUGUUGGCGGGGUAAUGGCCCACCAAACCUGUAACCGGUACGGGCCUUGAAAGAGGUGGCCCGGAGAUGGACACUGAGAGAAGGGUCCAGGUCCUACGGGGCGCAGCAGGCGCGAAACCUUCGCAACGCGCGAAAGCGUGACGAGGUUAAUCCGAGUGACUUCCGCUGAGGAGGUCUUUUGUCAGCUGUAAAUAGGCAGGCGAAUAAGGGGAGGGCAAGCCUGGUGUCAGCCGCCGCGGUAAUACCAGCUCCUCGAGUGGUCGGGGCGAUUAUUGGGCCUAAAGCAUCCGUAGCCGGUUCCGUAGGUCCUCUGUUAAAUCCAACCGCUUAACGGUUGACCUGCAGAGGAUACCGCGGGACUAGGAGGCGGGAGAGGCGGACGGUACUCCGCGUGUAGGGGUAAAAUCCUUUGAUCCGCGGAAGACCACCAGUGGCGAAGGCGGUCCGCCAGAACGCGCUCGACGGUGAGGGAUGAAAGCUGGGGGAGCGAACCGGAUUAGAUACCCGGGUAGUCCCAGCCGUAAACGAUGCUAGCUA
This 743-nucleotide ribosomal RNA is filed under the name uncultured archaeon. RNAcentral's name for it is "bacterial SSU rRNA". It matches the Rfam family "Archaeal small subunit ribosomal RNA", at positions 49 to 769 of the family's 1478-position model. The record is from RNAcentral.